This 70-nucleotide transfer RNA is filed under the name Marmota monax (woodchuck). RNAcentral's name for it is "tRNA.Ala". Lineage: Eukaryota; Metazoa; Chordata; Mammalia; Rodentia; Sciuridae. The record is from RNAcentral.
GGGCUCUAGCUCAGUGGCAGAGCACUUGCCUUGCAUGUAUGAGGCACUAGGUUUGAUCCUCAGGAUCACA